Molecule: long non-coding RNA, 879 nt
Organism: Gossypium raimondii (Peruvian cotton)
Lineage: Eukaryota; Viridiplantae; Streptophyta; Magnoliopsida; Malvales; Malvaceae
Exons: 4
Source: RefSeq, a predicted model, not a curated record
UCCAAAUUAAAGGAGCUCCGCUACUAAAGCAGAUAAGGUUUUUGAAAUUCCUUUUGUGCUUUCUCUUUGUCAAAAAAGACUUCUGUUCUGUUCGGUAUUUGCAGGGAAAAAAAAAGAUAAUGUGUUUGGUAUUUUUGUUUUCGUUUUAAAUUUUUUAACGAAAGGGAGAUGAAGAAAAAGAAGAAAAAGGGGGAAGAUAAAUGCUGCAACUAUGGGUAAUUUAUCCCGACUUUACCCUACUUUUUAAACCAUGGCAUGAGAUAGGCUGGUCUCCCAAUAUUUCCUUAACCGAAGAGAGGAAAACCCUAAUUUUGUCUCUCCAAAGGGACGAAAGGAAGGGAAAAUUGGUGUUUUACUUCAAAGCGCGGGCAGAAGCUGGCAAUUAUAUCAUUUUCAUGAGUCUUGACAAGUACGAGAACGCGGAGCUCAUCAAAUAUGGCUUCAUCGAAGAUAUCUGGCUGCUGUUCAUAAAGAACCAAUCUUUUCCAUUCCUGGAACUCCAGCAAUAGUUCAGCAUGAAAUUUUAAAUAACAGAAGGCAUGUAUUAACUAAGGUACAAGAAGCACCUAAGCUCAGUGGAUCUUACAAAGGACUUCUUCUUCAGCUAUUCAUACAAUGUUAUGUGUAGUCUUCCAAAGAACUUGUAUAAUAACGAACCAGGUGAGGUUCUUUAUGAGACCAUGUUUGUUUGGAAUGAGUUCCUGACCCGAGGAAUCCGCAAUCACCUCAAGAAUACUCUAUGGACAGUUGCCUUGGUGUAUGGCUUCUUUAAGCAGGCAUCCUUUUCUGUAUCUGGAAGGAGUUUCAAACUUUUGCACAUUGCAAGACGAUCCCGUCACUAUGAACCUGCGAAGAGGUAAUCACUUAGGAAUAGUUAAA